GACGAGCUCUCGGAGGAUGCUGCGGCGCGGGGCGCGUCGCCCCCCUCAGUCUACCAGAGCCCGGAUACCUCAGAAAUUCGGCUCUGGGUCUGUGGGGAGCGAAAUGCAACCCAAACCCCGUUUUUCCGAACCCCGCGCAAAUAAACACGCACAAGCACGCACACAGCCGUCGCCGCGGCCGGCGCUCGUCGCCGCAGGUCCGGGCGGCCCGGGCCGCGAGGGAAGAGCUCAGGCCCGAGAGGGGUCGCCGCCUACGUCUCGCAGCCCGAGGGGCGGCCGCUCGGCCUCGGCCGCUCACAGGCGCGACGUAAAUGCCCGGCGUCAACGGCCCGGCUUAACGGUGCAACGGCCGGCCUGGGCCUGCAACUCUGGGGUCCCGGCCGGGCUGGAGCGGCCGCCGGAGAGACCUGGAACCUAGCUGUAUGUUGUAAGCUGUCCUUUGGAGAGAACACUGUGGCAAGGAACUGAGUGAAGGAGGCCUCUGGCCUACACCCAGUGAAGAAUUAAGGAACUCAGUCUGACAACGUGUGAGGCACUGAGUCCUGCCAACAACUACACAAGUGAGCUUGGAAACAGACCCUCAAUCCAGCCUUCAGUAAAAAUCGAAGGAGCAGAACCAACUAGAGAUUAAAAAUUCUAUUGGAAGUGCUUUGGCUCAAAUCGUGGGAGAAUUCUAAGAAAUUUCCCUCUGGAAGGAUGGCUCAUUUGCACACUUGAGGCUUUCCCGAUGAAUUCCUCAAUUCAGGAAG
Molecule: RNA transcript, 749 nt
Organism: Pongo pygmaeus (Bornean orangutan)
Lineage: Eukaryota; Metazoa; Chordata; Mammalia; Primates; Hominidae
Exons: 3
Source: RefSeq, a predicted model, not a curated record